CACGCCGUAAACGUUGAGAACUAAGUGUUGGGGAGACCCAGUGCUGAAGCUAACGCAUUAAGUUCUCCGCCUGAGGAGUACGCACGCAAGUGUAAAACUUAAAGGAAUUGACGGGGGCCCGCACAAGCAGUGGAGCAUGUGGUUUAAUUCGAAGCAACGCGAAGAACCUUACCAGGACUUGACAUAUAGAUGCCCGGUGUAGAGAUACACUUUUUUCUUCUGAAACAUCUAUACAGGUGG
RNAcentral lists this ribosomal RNA (240 nucleotides) under uncultured Bacillota bacterium. Its description in RNAcentral is "uncultured Firmicutes bacterium partial 16S ribosomal RNA". It matches the Rfam family "Bacterial small subunit ribosomal RNA", at positions 796 to 1041 of the family's 1533-position model. Lineage: Bacteria; Bacillati; Bacillota. The record is from RNAcentral.